RNAcentral lists this ribosomal RNA (489 nucleotides) under uncultured bacterium. RNAcentral describes it as "bacterial SSU rRNA". It matches the Rfam family "Bacterial small subunit ribosomal RNA", at positions 791 to 1277 of the family's 1533-position model. The record is from RNAcentral.
UAGUCCACGCCGUAAACGAUGUGUGCUAGAUGUCGGGUCCAUAGGAUUCGGUGUCGCAGCUAACGCACUAAGCACACCGCCUGGGGAGUACGGUCGCAAGAUUAAAACUCAAAGGAAUUGACGGGGACCCGCACAAGCGGUGGAGCAUGUUCUUUAAUUCGACGCAACGCGAAGAACCUUACCUACACUUGACAUACUCGUCGGGGAUUUCAGAGAUGAUUUCCUUCGGUUCGGCCGGACGAUGUACAGGUGCUGCACGGCUGUCGUCAGCUCGUGUCGUGAGAUGUUUGGUUAAGUCCAGCAACGAGCGCAACCCCUAUCUUUAGUUGCCAACAGGUAAUGCUGGGGACUCUAGAGAGACUGCCUCCGCAAGGAGUGAGGAAGGAAGGGACGACGUCAAAUCAUCAUGGCCUUUAUGCCUAGGGCUACACACGUGCUACAAUGGCGUAUACAGAGGGGAGCAAGACAGCAAUGUGGAGCGAAUCUCAG